RNAcentral lists this ribosomal RNA (1864 nucleotides) under Escherichia coli. Its description in RNAcentral is "partial 23S ribosomal RNA". It matches the Rfam family "Bacterial large subunit ribosomal RNA", at positions 1 to 1890 of the family's 2925-position model. Lineage: Bacteria; Pseudomonadati; Pseudomonadota; Gammaproteobacteria; Enterobacterales; Enterobacteriaceae. The record is from RNAcentral.
GGUUAAGCGACUAAGCGUACACGGUGGAUGCCCUGGCAGUCAGAGGCGAUGAAGGACGUGCUAAUCUGCGAUAAGCGUCGGUAAGGUGAUAUGAACCGUUAUAACCGGCGAUUUCCGAAUGGGGAAACCCAGUGUGAUUCGUCACACUAUCAUUAACUGAAUCCAUAGGUUAAUGAGGCGAACCGGGGGAACUGAAACAUCUAAGUACCCCGAGGAAAAGAAAUCAACCGAGAUUCCCCCAGUAGCGGCGAGCGAACGGGGAGCAGCCCAGAGCCUGAAUCAGUAUGUGUGUUAGUGGAAGCGUCUGGAAAGGCGCGCGAUACAGGGUGACAGCCCCGUACACAAAAAUGCACAUGCUGUGAGCUCGAUGAGUAGGGCGGGACACGUGGUAUCCUGUCUGAAUAUGGGGGGACCAUCCUCCAAGGCUAAAUACUCCUGACUGACCGAUAGUGAACCAGUACCGUGAGGGAAAGGCGAAAAGAACCCCGGCGAGGGGAGUGAAAAAGAACCUGAAACCGUGUACGUACAAGCAGUGGGAGCACGCUUAGGCGUGUGACUGCGUACCUUUUGUAUAAUGGGUCAGCGACUUAUAUUCUGUAGCAAGGUUAACCGAAUAGGGGAGCCGAAGGGAAACCGAGUCUUAACUGGGCGUUAAGUUGCAGGGUAUAGACCCGAAACCCGGUGAUCUAGCCAUGGGCAGGUUGAAGGUUGGGUAACACUAACUGGAGGACCGAACCGACUAAUGUUGAAAAAUUAGCGGAUGACUUGUGGCUGGGGGUGAAAGGCCAAUCAAACCGGGAGAUAGCUGGUUCUCCCCGAAAGCUAUUUAGGUAGCGCCUCGUGAAUUCAUCUCCGGGGGUAGAGCACUGUUUCGGCAAGGGGGUCAUCCCGACUUACCAACCCGAUGCAAACUGCGAAUACCGGAGAAUGUUAUCACGGGAGACACACGGCGGGUGCUAACGUCCGUCGUGAAGAGGGAAACAACCCAGACCGCCAGCUAAGGUCCCAAAGUCAUGGUUAAGUGGGAAACGAUGUGGGAAGGCCCAGACAGCCAGGAUGUUGGCUUAGAAGCAGCCAUCAUUUAAAGAAAGCGUAAUAGCUCACUGGUCGAGUCGGCCUGCGCGGAAGAUGUAACGGGGCUAAACCAUGCACCGAAGCUGCGGCAGCGACGCUUAUGCGUUGUUGGGUAGGGGAGCGUUCUGUAAGCCUGCGAAGGUGUGCUGUGAGGCAUGCUGGAGGUAUCAGAAGUGCGAAUGCUGACAUAAGUAACGAUAAAGCGGGUGAAAAGCCCGCUCGCCGGAAGACCAAGGGUUCCUGUCCAACGUUAAUCGGGGCAGGGUGAGUCGACCCCUAAGGCGAGGCCGAAAGGCGUAGUCGAUGGGAAACAGGUUAAUAUUCCUGUACUUGGUGUUACUGCGAAGGGGGGACGGAGAAGGCUAUGUUGGCCGGGCGACGGUUGUCCCGGUUUAAGCGUGUAGGCUGGUUUUCCAGGCAAAUCCGGAAAAUCAAGGCUGAGGCGUGAUGACGAGGCACUACGGUGCUGAAGCAACAAAUGCCCUGCUUCCAGGAAAAGCCUCUAAGCAUCAGGUAACAUCAAAUCGUACCCCAAACCGACACAGGUGGUCAGGUAGAGAAUACCAAGGCGCUUGAGAGAACUCGGGUGAAGGAACUAGGCAAAAUGGUGCCGUAACUUCGGGAGAAGGCACGCUGAUAUGUAGGUGAAGUCCCUCGCGGAUGGAGCUGAAAUCAGUCGAAGAUACCAGCUGGCUGCAACUGUUUAUUAAAAACACAGCACUGUGCAAACACGAAAGUGGACGUAUACGGUGUGACGCCUGCCCGGUGCCGGAAGGUUAAUUGAUGGGGU